RNAcentral lists this long non-coding RNA (2078 nucleotides) under Vulpes vulpes (red fox). RNAcentral describes it as "lncRNA (ENSVVUG00000001599.1)". Lineage: Eukaryota; Metazoa; Chordata; Mammalia; Carnivora; Canidae. The record is from RNAcentral.
UGAACCAUGCCCUGGAAGAGCAUGAACCGACCUGAAUCUGUUUCCUGCAAUCCUCUCUGUUCACCAAAGCCACGCACAUUCAUUCACUUAUUCAUCCAACAAAAAUGUAUGCCAGCUGUGAGGCAGGCCCUCUUCUCGGUGCCUGGCACACAUCAGGGAACCAAGGAAAGAUUCCUGGAGAUUGUGGGGCUUUCUGGUGGGAAGAGCCUGAAAACAAAUGAUAAUUUAAUGAGUAUAAUACAGUAGAAGUUGAUAUCUCUGGAAAAAUGACAGGAAAAGUCAGAGAAAGGGUGUCUGGAGUGUCCAGAGUGGUAUGUAGGUUAGAAUGUGAAUAAGAUGGUCAGUAGCCAUGUUUGAGAAGGUGAGAUUUGAGCAAGGAUUUGGGCAGGGGCAGGACUUCUCCAGGUGGAGGGGUAUCUGAGCACAGGGCAUUCUGGGAAAGAGGAAGGGGUGCCAGAACCAAGCAUCGAGAACAUGCUGGCUUGUUGGAGGAACAAGGAGGCUGCAGAAGCGUGUGACUGGAGGGGCAGCAGGAGCAGAUACCACCUGAGGGGACCCAGGGUACUGGGUAAUGAGGGUUUUGCAGGAUGAUAUAAGGACCUUUGGCUUUUAGGCUGAGUGGCAUGGGGAACCAUGGUGGGCUGAAAAGUGGCAAGCAUGGCUGAUCUAUCUUGCUGGUAUAUUAAGAAAAGACUGUAUGGGAUCCAGGAUGAAGCAGAGGAUGAGUAGGGGAUGUUUGCAGGGAUCCAGCAAGUGAUGCCGGUAGCAGACCAGCUGGGACCAGAGCAUGCGAAAAGCGAAGAAUCAUGAGCUUGAGGAUUUGGCUGAGCAGUGUUCUAUUCUGGAAAAAGAAAAGAAAAAAAGAAAAGAAAAGAAAAAAAAAAGAAAAGAAAAGAAAAGAAAAGAAAAAAGACCACCACCAGGAAAGGAGCAGAAAGCCCCAGAAGCUUCUAUCAUGCCUGAACCCAUGAGAGCAAACCUUGUUUGGGUUUCACGCACCCAACACAACAUGCCGGUUUGGAGGGAAGCAAUCACGACAGCAUCACUAAACCCAAAAGUUAUAGUGAAUAUAAAAUAGUGGGUGUUCCACAUGGCAGGGAGCCAUCUGAUUUAUCCUGUCAGGUCAGUGUCAGAAGCUAUUUGCUGGGAUUGUCAGUAAUGCUCACAGAUAUUGGCUCUCCGUUCCCUUGCUAUGAUCUUUAAGGCUUCCUGACAUGACUCUGGAAGCUUUGGGGUAGGCUGGAUUUUCUAAACAGAGCCUAGAAGAAUGGUUAGGGAUAGAGGGACAGACAUUCUCGAGCAAUAUUCUAAGGUCCUUACCUCUCCUUCCCCAGCAAGGAUUUCUGGUGCUAUGUCUACAAAGAGAAGCCCCGAGAAGACAGACAAUGAGAACAGAAGAUGGUGGUUAUAGGUUUUCAUCUGUACACUGUGCUAUAAGAAGAUGAGGUUUGCUGCAUAGUGUAAACACAUCUCUUUUUGAUGUGUUGUGAAUGUCUCAAAAAAAAAAAAAAGAUGAAAACACUCCAUUUGAAUCCAUGUCAACGUGAGGAAAUAUUCUAGUGUGACUCCACUGUUCUAGAGAAGAGCUCCUCUUGGAGGAACCCAUUCAGGGAGCAGAGCCCCUGGGGCAUGCAGAUGGGGGACAGAGCAGGUACAGAAAGAGCACUGACCCCCCUGGGAUAGAAUCGGUCUUGGUUUCAUUUUGCCAGCCCUCGCCAUGCUCCUGCUUUAAAGACCUCUGCUUUAACACCCUGCACUUUUGUUAACAUUGGGAAUCAUUAUAAAGCCAUUUCCAAAAACGUCUCCUCUAUAGGCACCUUACCCAUUAAAUGUACAGUGAAGCCAGAUAUACUAGCUUGUUCUUCCAAGCUGCAAAAUGAAGGUUUAAAAUCAAAUUAUAGACUUUGUAAUACUUUCAGAAAAACAAUUUCUUUCUGAGGUCUCAAAUAAUUAAAUGGAAUGAAAGCACACGAAGUUUUGAUUUCUAUAAUUUCAACAUUCAAAUUAACUUUCCUAAUUUCUCACUAGUUGACAAGCUGAUUUAUGCAUAGUUGAUAUUACACCGAUGCAAUAUAUAA